Molecule: long non-coding RNA, 1080 nt
Organism: Vicia villosa (hairy vetch)
Lineage: Eukaryota; Viridiplantae; Streptophyta; Magnoliopsida; Fabales; Fabaceae
Exons: 5
Source: RefSeq, a predicted model, not a curated record
UUAUUCAAAUUUUAAUUACCCACAUUUUCCUCAUCUCUCUCUCUCUCUCUCCCGUUCUCUUUCUUCCCUCUCUUUCCCCCUUCAAACCCUAACACUUCUUCACCCUCUUUCUCCCUCAUAUCUAUGGUCACCACCACCUCCAAUGAAAAAAUCAAUUCCAUAUUCGUAUUCCUCAUCUCACGGGCUUCAUAAUGAACGGGUUAGAUUUUUGUUUUGAUGAGUUUCAAAAAGUAACCAUGUUCUAUUUUGGUGUGUUUGCUUAACUAUUACUGUUGUUCUUAAUCUGGAACAUUGCUUAUGUUGUUUUAUUUUUGUUUAUGGUUUAUAGUAGCUAGCUAGGUGUAGUUUCAUUUAUAUAUAAUGAAACUCUUUAUUUGUUGGUUGUUGAAGGAAAAUAAAUAAAUCUAAGUGAAUACACUAGCAGAGUUGCUUCCGAAAGUGAACACAUCUUUGAAGGACUACGCAGAAAAAAUUUCAGCUUCUAUUUCAUGACGUUCGCAGUUUCGAUUGAAGAAAUGAGUGUUGAAGAGGAUAAAAUUGGAGGAGUUAUUCUAACAGUUCAGAACCCUAUGGAUUCUGAUUCAUUUCCUUCUAAAUUGGAAGAUUCAAUGUCUCAAUGGAGUCAACAGGGAAAAACGAUACGAGAAGUGCUUCAUUGUGGAUUGUCAUGGUGAUAGAGCUACAACAUCUGCUACAUCAUUGGACUAAAACUUAGAAAGGGAUCAAACGAGUGAUAGAAGGAAUUUGUUCCCAACUUUGAAGAAAAUGUGUUUAAAGUUGAAACAGUACUAUAAGCUACACUGGUGAGGCAAUGCUUAUGGCAAGGUGCAUAUUAUUGUGAUGAAGAUUGGUGAUGCACCAGUUCCUACAAACUGUUGAAAUACAGCUAUGAGUACGAUUCCUAAGUCCUGUCAACAUCAGCACAAUAGCUCAUGAAUACCUGCUACUCUAUUUCAACUUUUCAUCUGUGCAUGCUUGUCGAUAACAGUAAAUAGUACAAAGCUACAUUAUUAUAUGUUCAAUAUACAUUUAAUGUGCUAAACAUUUAGUUCUAUCUCAAUUUUGUUUCUUUUUCUUCAA